RNAcentral lists this ribosomal RNA (484 nucleotides) under uncultured bacterium. Its description in RNAcentral is "partial 16S ribosomal RNA". It matches the Rfam family "Bacterial small subunit ribosomal RNA", at positions 30 to 507 of the family's 1533-position model. The record is from RNAcentral.
AUUGAACGCUGGCGGCAGGCCUAACACAUGCAAGUCGAGCGGAUGAAGGGAGCUUGCUCCUGGAUUCAGCGGCGGACGGGUGAGUAAUGCCUAGGAAUCUGCCUGGUAGUGGGGGAUAACGUCCGGAAACGGGCGCUAAUACCGCAUACGUCCUGAGGGAGAAAGUGGGGGAUCUUCGGACCUCACGCUAUCAGAUGAGCCUAGGUCGGAUUAGCUAGUUGGUGGGGUAAAGGCCUACCAAGGCAACGAUCCGUAACUGGUCUGAGGGGAUGAUCAGUCACACUGGAACUGAGACACGGUCCAGACUCCUACGGGAGGCAGCAGUGGGGAAUAUUGGACAAUGGGCGAAAGCCUGAUCCAGCCAUGCCGCGUGUGUGAAGAAGGUCUUCGGAUUGUAAAGCACUUUAAGUUGGGAGGAAGGGCAGUAAGUUAAUACCUUGCUGUUUUGACGUUACCAACAGAAUAAGCACCGGCUAACUUCGUG